Molecule: transfer RNA, 63 nt
Filed under: Neopanorpa pulchra
Lineage: Eukaryota; Metazoa; Arthropoda; Insecta; Mecoptera; Panorpidae
Description: tRNA-Cys
Source: RNAcentral
GGCUUUAUAGUCAAUUAUCACAUUAGACUGCAAUUCUAAAGGAGUGUUUUUAUACUAAGGCUU